CUUCUCCUUCUUCCCUCUCUUCUUCUUUCUUUCUUUCUUUCUUUCUUUCUUUCUCUCUUUCUCCUUCCACUAUUCCUUCUCUGUUUUCACUGACAAAGAAGAGGAACAAGGGAAGGUGGUGCUCUCCGGUCCUCAAGGUGGCCGCCACUGAGGGCCGGCGACGCUUGUGGCCGAAGGCAUGCCGACUGCCACAGGUGCCUCCCCCUCCUUUUCCUUCUCUCUUCUUCUUCUUCUUCUUCUUCUUCUUCUUCUUCUUCUAUCAAAUGGUAUAACAAAGCGGUGAAGCUAGAAUCCUUACCUGUGGCGAAGAUCCGGCGGCUCCCUUCCGGCAAAGAUCCGGCGGCUCCCUUCCGGCGACAAACAGAGGAAGAAGAUCACCCGAAAAAAAAUCCGGCUCCGACGGUCCCUCCCUCUCUCUCUCCCUCUUGGGCGGUUGCACGAGGAAGAAGAGAGGAUUCGGGUGGCCUCAAAGAGAAGGAGAAGAAGCCCUAAAAACAGGGCUUCCUCCUUCUUCGGGAUGGAUCCUUCCAUCCCGGUGCCUCACGUGCAACGCACGUGAGGCCGAAACCUGGGACUGGGCCGGUCAAAUGGACCGGGCCCAGUUCCGGGGUCUCACAU
This 618-nucleotide long non-coding RNA is filed under the name Phoenix dactylifera (date palm). RNAcentral's name for it is "long non-coding RNA (PDAC_LNC018855)". Lineage: Eukaryota; Viridiplantae; Streptophyta; Magnoliopsida; Arecales; Arecaceae. The record is from RNAcentral.